GCAAGUGUGGUGUAGUGGUUUGAGUGUUGAACUAUGACUCUGGAGACCAGGGUUCAAAUCCCAGCUCAGCCA
Molecule: non-coding RNA, 72 nt
Organism: Phrynosoma platyrhinos (Desert horned lizard)
Lineage: Eukaryota; Metazoa; Chordata; Lepidosauria; Squamata; Phrynosomatidae
Source: the annotation of a GenBank genome assembly